This is a long non-coding RNA of Raphanus sativus (radish), 882 nucleotides long. RefSeq lists it as uncharacterized. The record is from RefSeq and is a predicted model, not a curated record. Lineage: Eukaryota; Viridiplantae; Streptophyta; Magnoliopsida; Brassicales; Brassicaceae. The transcript is spliced from 6 exons.
UUCUGGCUGCUCAUUGCGCCACGUUCCCACUGGAAGGGUGGGCAUUUCGCGACACGUGUCGCAUCCUCAGUGCUCUAUUAUUUUUUUGUCGUGCGUUUUGGUUUCAGAUUCGGAAUAGGGCCCAAGCCCAUCACCAAAGAAACCCCUACCGAAUUAGGUCGUCAAUUCGUCUUCCUCAUCUCGCUGCGAUCUCCCAGAAGUUCAAAUCUACCUUCUCGACUUCACUCCACUAUUCAGUAUAUAUACAUCGCUUGAAAACAAUUGAAGGCUGGUUGUUGUUGACAAGGCUCCUUCGAUUUUGAGAAGCCAAAUCGAAGCCCAGAAUGUUAAGAAAGGGAGUGAACUGAUCUGUUUUGCUAUGGUCCUUAUUGAUUCGAAGGCUACGGAGCUAAGCGUUCUCGAUAUUGCAUGAAGCAAUCCAACCUUCAAGGUUGCUGAAGCCCAUGUGUCAAUUAGAUUCACAGACCAAACUGUGAACUGCUCCCCAAGGAGUGUUUUUAGGUUUCAAAAAUACGAGCAGCUCAUGUCAGUAGCCAAUACAGAAACUUAUUUCCAGAUAACGUUGGAGAAAUGAGGCGUUCAAACCAUCUACAACUAAAAGACUCAGAGCACUCAACGCCUUCACAGGGAGGCUGUUUCUGGACGCUACACCGGGAACGAAUUAUAUCUUGACAACAAGCGUGGAGUGAGCAAUAGCUUUCUCAAAAAACAUUCUUGACUAGGUCAUUGCAAUCAAGAGCACAAUCAACGGCGGUACACAUGGGAUACAGCGUGUAAUUCUGACUCUGCGUCUACAAUGGAAGCCUCAACAGUUUAAAAUCCAUUGUUUGUAACUUUUUACAACUUUGUAUGGUAUCUUAUUCUCCAAGAAUUUCAUCUUCA